GAUGAACGCUGGCGGCGUGCCUAAUACAUGCAAGUCGAGCGGCAGCGCGAGUAGUUUACUACUUGGCGGCGAGCGGCGGACGGCUGAGUAACACGUAGGAACGUACCCCAAAGUGAGGGAUAACUGCUCGAAAGAGUAGCUAAUACCGCAUGUGGUCUAAGGAUUAAAGCUUCGGCGCUUUGGGAACGGCCUGCGUUCGAUUAGCUAGUUGGUAAGGUAAAAGCUUACCAAGGCGACGAUCGAUAGCUGGUCUGAGAGGAUGAUCAGCCAGACUGGGACUGAGACACGGCCCAGACUCCUACGGGAGGCAGCAGUGGGGAAUUUUGGACAAUGGGCGAAAGCCUGAUCCAGCAAUGCCGCGUGUGUGAAGAAGGCCUUCGGGUUGUAAAGCACUUUUGUCCGGAAAGAAAUGGCUCUGGUUAAUACCUGGGGUCGAUGACGGUACCGGAAGAAUAAGGACCGGCUAACUACGUGCCAGCCGCCGCCGUAA
This 490-nucleotide ribosomal RNA is filed under the name uncultured bacterium. RNAcentral describes it as "partial 16S ribosomal RNA". It matches the Rfam family "Bacterial small subunit ribosomal RNA", at positions 28 to 523 of the family's 1533-position model. The record is from RNAcentral.